This 465-nucleotide ribosomal RNA is filed under the name Vreelandella stevensii. RNAcentral describes it as "partial 16S ribosomal RNA". It matches the Rfam family "Bacterial small subunit ribosomal RNA", at positions 338 to 795 of the family's 1533-position model. Lineage: Bacteria; Pseudomonadati; Pseudomonadota; Gammaproteobacteria; Oceanospirillales; Halomonadaceae. The record is from RNAcentral.
CCUACGGGGUGCAGCAGUGGGGAAUAUUGGACAAUGGGCGAAAGCCUGAUCCAGCCAUGCCGCGUGUGUGAAGAAGGCCUUCGGGUUGUAAAGCACUUUCAGUGGGGAAGAAAGCCUUGGGGCUAAUACCCUCGAGGAAGGACAUCACCCACAGAAGAAGCACCGGCUAACUCCGUGCCAGCAGCCGCGGUAAUACGGAGGGUGCGAGCGUUAAUCGGAAUUACUGGGCGUAAAGCGCGCGUAGGCGGUCUGAUAAGCCGGUUGUGAAAGCCCCGGGCUCAACCUGGGAACGGCAUCCGGAACUGUCAGGCUAGAGUGCAGGAGAGGAAGGUAGAAUUCCCGGUGUAGCGGUGAAAUGCGUAGAGAUCGGGAGGAAUACCAGUGGCGAAGGCGGUCUUCUGGACUGACACUGACGCUGGGGUGCGAAAGCGUGGGUAGCAAACAGGAUUAGAUACCCUGGUAGUC